CGCCGGCGACCGGCGCACGGGUGAGUAACACGUAUGGAACCUGCCCGCAGCAGGGGGAUAAGCGGAAGAAAUUCCGUCUAAUACCGCGUAACAACCCGAGGAGGCAUCUCCUCGGGUUUAAAGGAAGCGAUUCCGGCUACGGAUGGUCAUGCGUCGCAUUAGCUAGUUGGCGGGGUAACGGCCCACCAAGGCGACGAUGCGUAGGGGUUCUGAGAGGAAGGUCCCCCACACUGGUACUGAGACACGGACCAGACUCCUACGGGAGGCAGCAG
RNAcentral lists this ribosomal RNA (272 nucleotides) under uncultured bacterium. RNAcentral's name for it is "partial 16S ribosomal RNA". It matches the Rfam family "Bacterial small subunit ribosomal RNA", at positions 86 to 354 of the family's 1533-position model. The record is from RNAcentral.